CCCUUAGAUGUUCUGGGCUGCACACGUGCUACACUGGCAGGUUCAGCGAGCUUCAUGCCCUGAUCUGAAAGGAAUGGGAAAUCUUUUCAAAACCUGCCGUGCUUGGGAUAGAUGUUUGCAAUUAUUCAUCUUCAACGAGGAUUGCCUUGUAAGCGCACGUCAUCAGCGUGCAUUGAAUACGACCCUGUAUUCUGUACACACCGCCCGUCGCUCCUACCGAUUGAAGUUUUCGGUGAGUUGACAGGAGGAUUUUUUUGAAACUGGUUCGCCAGUGGAUUUUAGAUCCAAAUGCCAACGAAUCGAGGGCUUUAGAGGAAGGAGGAGUCGUAACA
This 332-nucleotide ribosomal RNA is filed under the name uncultured eukaryote. Its description in RNAcentral is "partial 18S ribosomal RNA". It matches the Rfam family "Eukaryotic small subunit ribosomal RNA", at positions 1470 to 1796 of the family's 1831-position model. The record is from RNAcentral.